Molecule: long non-coding RNA, 1385 nt
Filed under: Sus scrofa (pig)
Lineage: Eukaryota; Metazoa; Chordata; Mammalia; Artiodactyla; Suidae
Description: lncRNA (ENSSSCG00025070255.1, ENSSSCG00065031700.1)
Source: RNAcentral
GCCUCAGCGUCGCUCCCAGCCCGGGUUACCCAGUUCCCUCCGUUUGCACCCCCACCGCCCCUGCCCGGGGCUGCUCCAGAAGCAUAUCGAGGUUCCUAGGCUAGGGGGUCUAACUGGAGCUGCGGCCUACGCCACAGCCACAGCAACAUGGAAUCCGAGCUGUGUCUGCCACCUACACCACAGCUCAUGGCAACUCACUAAGCAAGGCCAGGGAUCGAACCGACAGCCUCAUGGUUCCUAGUUGGAUUCGUUAACCACUGCGCCACGAUGGGAACUCCAUGAUGUUUUUGUGUUCUUGUUCCAGUAUCUUCCUUAUAUCCUUUAACUUGUCUAUUAGUCUAAUUUUAAAUGUGUGUUCUGAAGAUAAUACACUGUGCAGCUUUUCUCUUGAAAGUGGUGAUGCCGUUAACCUGAGGGCUCUGACACUGUCUCCACGGGGAUAGUGUCAGAAUUAGUUAAGUUGCAGGACUCCCAGCUCGUGUGGAUGAACUGCUUGGUGUUGGUGGGUGGGGAACCCUCACAUUUGGGGACCAGAAGUGUCAGCAGUGAAGGGAUGUGAGUGGAGGAGCCUGCCCUGCUGUGUCCUCUGGGCUCUACCUGCUCUGUCCGAAGGCCCCCAGGAGCUGGGCCUGGGAGGAACCCCAGGGGGACGCCCCAGGAAAACACAGCCCGCCCCUCCUCAGCCCCGAGACGCCACCCCCCGACCCCAGCCUGUUUUCACACUUUGCCCUCCAGGGGGAGGCAGCCACAGGAGCUCUCAUCCCAGGCCUGGGUGUUUGAGGGGGAUGAGUAGGCAGUUUCAGAAUCAGUCUGUCCCAACCUGUUUUUCUCAGCUUCUCCCAAAAGCAGGCGGUCUGGGCAGCCCUGAUUUGACUCCCAAAGCCUGAGACAGAGAUCAGGCCACUGUGGGUGGGGGGCGCUGGGGGGCAGGCACCGGUGUUCCAGGCGGUGGUGUGGGAGGGGCCAUCCCCAUGCCCCCAGGAGACUUUCACACCCUUCCCUUCUUGGCCGGAGCCCAAAGGCCGCCUGACCACGACCUGGCUUGGUAGUUAUCCUCCUCGGUGCAGGGUCUGUUCCACUCCAUGGCUGCGUUUGUCUGGGCAGCUUCAGCCCUCGGCCCGGAGUAACAAAGACCGAUGUUAUUUCUCAGAUAGCAGGCUUCAGAGUAAGUCUCAGCAACACCCUCAUUUUCUUCGGAGAGGUUUGGCCCCACCUUUCCAGAUGGAAGAGGUGGUAUUUGCUGGUUCCUGGGCGUACCCCACAAACCACGCCCCCCAGAAAGACAGUAUCAGAGUUCCCAAGUGGCUCAGCCGGUUAAGGACCUGUUGUUGACACUGCUGUGGCACAGGUGCCUGUCACAUGCAAGGCUCAAAAAAAAGAAAAAA